UUCCUGUGAACCAACCAGUGAUCUCUGGCCGCAGCUCAGAAGAAACAAGAGGAAUAGGUAACAUAAAACUCUGGAUAAAUAUUCUAAUUCUAGGAAUACAUUGGAAUUGGCUAGUAAGCCCAUCCACUCAAGUCUUAGCAGGCAUGACAAUAGCCACCAGUUACCUGAGCAUGUUGGCAGCCUCGGGAUUUUUUGGAGUCGUCCUCACCCCCUUAUCUCAUUUUGACAUUCUUCUAAAUCUAAUAAACUGAUUUGUCUCCUCUUGCCUUCAGGCCAUCAAGCUCCAGAUGAUCCUCAGUGAAAGAUACCAUCCUGUCAGUAUUCAAGAAUCACCCUUCUACAAAGGACCCCUAGACUUCCCAUCAAUGAGACAUGACAGAGGCAAAAUCCCACCCCUGUCUCCCUCAGGCCUGGCUGGAUACUGUUUUCACCAACGCAUGGAGCCAUCCUACCCUGACAGCUACAAGAGGUGAAGACCCACAAAACAACCACCACCACCCCUCUAUCAGCAGGAAGCAGUUACAGAAGACUGACGUUUAUCCAUUUUCCCCAAGUAAUUGAGGACUUGGACUCUUGAGGGGGAAAAUGUUGUGGUAGGUAGGUAGUCAGACAUGAGCAGGGCAAGAGAGGGCCCUCUGACCACCGGGAAUGUCAGUCAACCAUCAGGUGAUAGUCAGGCGUUUGUUAAACUGCCUCUGUAACAUAAUAAUUCAUUGCAGCAGGUUCCAGGGAAAGGCAGUCCCCCAACAGACAGAAAAGCCUAAAACUGGUGAUCAGCUUCCUGAUAAGAUGGCAGGAAUUGGGCAAGUGGGCUCAAGCAUAUUAAGAGGCAAAAUGGCAGGGAUUAACUGGUAUGUGACUUUGUAGGAACACUCAACUGGUAAGGGAAGAACAACUCAAGUGGGCAUGCAUACAACUUCAGUAAUCACACUGUGAAUAUAGUGCCUACCAAGUGCCGGGAGGCCACCGUGCAUGUGGACAGCCCAGCCUAAGAGGAGAAUCAGGGAGAAAGAGAUACAACCCCCUGCUCCCUUGGAAGCAUGCCAAUGUAUAAAACCCGAAGUCAAAGGUCAAACAGUGCACUUGAGCCCUGGUGUGAUUCCGUCCUGCGCGGCUGUUCUCUGGAGCAGCAUUUGUUUAUCUCCGUCCACCUUCUCUCCCACCUAAGUGCGUGUUGCCACCUGAUAGAAGAUUCGAUGGACAUGGACAUGAGCCCCCUGAGGCCCUAGAACUAUCUUUUCGGUUGUGAACUAAAGGCCAACAAAGAUGAUCACUUUAAGGUGGAUAAUGAUGAAAAUGAGCACCAGUUAUCUUUAAGAAUCGUCAGUUUAGGGGCUAGUGCAAAGGAUGAAUUGCACAUUGUUGAAGCAGAGGCAAUGAAUUACGAAGGAAGUCCAAUUAAAGUAACACUGGCAACUUUGAAAAUGUCUGUACAGCCAACGGUUUCCCUUGGGGGCUUUGAAAUAACACCACCAGUGGUCUUAAGGUUGAAGUGUGGUUCAGGGCCAGUGCAUAUUAGUGGACAGCACUUAGUAGCUGUGGAGGAAGAUGCGGAGUCAGAAGAUGAAGAGGAGGAGGACAUCAAACUCUUAAGUAUAUCUGGAAAGCGGUCUGCCCUUGGAGGUGGUAGCAAGGUUCCACAGAAAAAAGUAAAACUUGCUGCUGAUGAAGAAGAUGAUGAUGAUGAAGAUGAUGAUGAUGAUGAUGAUUCUGAUGAUGAGGAAGCUGCAGAAAAAGCACCAGUGAAGAAAUCUAUACAAGAUACUCCAGCCAAAGAUGCACAAAAGUCAAAUUAGAAUGGAAAAGACUCAAAACCAUCAUCAACAUCAAGAUCAAAAGGACAAGAAUCCUUCAAAAAUCAGGAAAAGACUCCUAAAACACCAAACGGACCUAGUUUUUAGAAGACAUUAAAGCAAAAAUGCAAGCAAGUAUAGAAAAAGGUGGUUGUCUUCCCAAAGUGGAAGCCAAGUUCAUCAAUUAUGUGAAGAAUUGCUUUUGGAUGACUGACCAAGAGGCUAUUCAAGAUCUCUGGCAGUGGAGGAAGUCUCUUUAAGAAAAUAGUUUAAACAAUCUGUCAAAAAUUUUCCGUCUUAUUUCAUUUCUGUAAUAGUUGAUAUCUGGCUGUCCUUUUUAUAAUGGAGAAUGAGAACUUUCCCUACCAUGUUUGAUAAAUGUUGUCCAGGUUCCAUUGCCAAGAAUGUGUUGUCCAAAAUGCCUGUUUAGUUUUUAAAGAUGGAACUCCACCCUUUGCUUGGUUUUAAGUAUGUAUGGAAUGUUAUGAUAGGACAUAGUAGUAGCGGUGGUCAGACAUGGAAAUGGUGGGGAGACAAAAAUAUACAUGUGAAAUAAAACUCAGUAUUUUAAUAAAGCAAAAAAA
RNA transcript from Cercocebus atys (sooty mangabey), 2377 nucleotides. It is a transcript of the gene named nucleophosmin pseudogene, with no coding region annotated. The transcript has a single exon. NCBI's taxonomy places the organism in Eukaryota, Metazoa, Chordata, Mammalia, Primates, Cercopithecidae. The record is from RefSeq and is a predicted model, not a curated record.